Molecule: long non-coding RNA, 42344 nt
Filed under: Olea europaea (common olive)
Lineage: Eukaryota; Viridiplantae; Streptophyta; Magnoliopsida; Lamiales; Oleaceae
Description: long non-coding RNA (OEUR_LNC015332)
Source: RNAcentral
AAUAUAUCAUAUUAAACGUAAAAAACUAUCUUUCUUCAUAUUUUGAAUCAUUAAUGAUGAAGAAUAUGUUAUCAUGUUUAUUUUUGGCCUAAUUUUGUAUCUUAUUGUUUCUCAAUUGAAUAGAGAAUUUUGAUUAUUAGUUAAAAUAUCUUGUAGGGGCCGUACAAAGAGUUGAAGAUAACAGAGCUACUUUCAAUUCAAAUUGCAAUAAGGUAAGUUCAUAAAUUCAGGUACGCCAUCAACUAGUUGUUUGAUAGUAUAAAAUCUUUAAUGAUGUUAUAAAAGGUUAUUUCUUUUGUUGGUGCUUUGAUGUAUCUUCUUAAGUGAACAAAUCUAUAAAUUCCAUAAUUGAACUUUCACGUUAAAUUUUUAUUAUAUUGACAUAUACCUUUUGUAUAUCAUAUCCUUUGUAGAGUCAUAUAUAGAGGCUACACUAUGGAUAGAAAUUGGAUACACAAUCCCGAUAGAACUAGCGCUGAAUAUUUGUUAGGGAUUAAGAAAUUCAUUAGAGUUGCAAGCAACCAUGUCAAUCAUCGAGGUCAUUCUGAGUGUCCAUGCCAAAAGUGUAAUUAUUGAUCUUGGAGGCCAGUGAGUGAAAUUCGACAACACUUGAUCAUGCAUGGGAUGUCAUACAAUUACACUAAAUGGAAUCGUCAUGGUGAACGAUUGGGGGCCGUGUUAGGUUCUUCUACCAAUAACUUGUUUUGUAACUCUAGUCUCUGAUGGCAUUGAUUGUGAUAAUGAUCAAGUAAUGAAUAUAAUUAAUGAUAUGUAUCCACAUGCCUCGCACCAUCAUAGGCAAAAUGUAUUAGAAGCAGACGAAGUAUUACUUGAUGAUGAUAUAUUGGGAAAUAAUCAGACAUCUAAGAUGAGUAGGCAAGAGAUAGAUAAUUAUGAAAGGUUGUUGACAGAAGCACAAAAAGAACUUUACCCUGGUUGUAAAGAUUUUUUUGUGCUAACAUCGAUUGUAGAGUUGAUGCAAUUGAAAGUCAGGAAUUUGAUGACCAACAAAUGCUUUGACGAGCUUAUAGGUAUCUUGAAAAGGAUGCUUCCAAAAGAAAAUCAACUGCCUCCUACUCAUCGACAAGCUCAAAAAGUUCUUUGACUGGGCUAUGAAAAGAUCCAUGCAUGUAAAUAUGAUUGUGCUUUAUUCUACAAGGAAAUUGAAUGGUUAGAUAAGUGCCCCAUUUGUAACGAGCCAAGGUAUUUAAACAGUUCAGAAGAUAAGAAAAAGAUCCCUCAAAAAGUAUUACGUUAUUUUCCACUAAAGCCAAGAUUAUGACGACUAUAUAUGUCAAUGCAUACUGCCAUUGAUAUGAAAUGGCACAAGGAUGGACGAGUUGAUGAUGGUGAUAUGAGGCAUCCAGCAGACACAAUUGCAUGGAAGGAAUUUGACAAGAUUUAUCCCAGUUUUGCAGUCGAGUCACGAAAUCCAAGGUUGGGCCUUGCAACAGAUGGCUUUAACCCAUUUGGGGAUAUGAACAAACCUUAUAGCAUGUGGCCAUUUGUGGUUGUUUCUUAUAGCUUGCCUCCUUGGAUGUGCAUGAAAAAGGAAUUCACCAUGCUAACCUUAUUAAUUUCUGGCAAGCAUGAACCUAGUAAGGAUAUUGACGUUUAUUUGUUCCCGCUAAUUGAUGAGCUAAAAGAAUUAUGGGAAAUCGGUGUGCAUACAUAUGAUAAAGCCACUGAUUCCACUUUUAAUUUACGUGCUACUGUGUUGUGGACUAUUAACAAAUUACCUGCUUACGAAAAUUUAUCAGGAUGGAGUACUAAGGGUUAUAAUACAUGCCCUGUCUAUAAUGGUGAUGGAACAUCUGAGUGGUUCAGUGAUUAGGUUUGCUAUAUGGGGCAUCGGCGAUGGCUGCCCUAGGAUCAUGUGUAGAGCAAUAUCAAGGAAUCCUUUGAUGGGAAAACUAAAUUUCGUGCUAGACCUAGACAAUUAUCAGGUGAUGAAAUUUUGUCUCAAGUACAGAACAUAAACUUUGGUCAGAUUGGUAAGCAUCCUGAUAACCAAGAUAAAAAAAAAGGAAAAGGACACUUGAAGAACGGAAUUGGACUAAGAAGAGUAUUUUUUUUUAGCUAGAAAAUUGGUCAGAGUUAAAAAUUAGGCAUAAUCUAGAUGUAAUGCACAUUGAGAAGAAUGUUUGUAACAUUAUUAUUGGGACAAUAUUGGGUAUAGAGGGAAAAUCGAAAGAUACAGUGAAGGCUCGCCAAGAUUUAGAAGCACUUGGAAUAAAAAAAAAAUAUUUAUGGUUAGAUUGGAACGGAGAGAAAUGGGUUAAAUGACAUCCAUUUUUCACAAUGAAACCAAAUUUAAAGAGAGAAUUCCUUCAAUUUUUGAAAUCCGUAAAAUAUUCAGAUGGCUAUGUCGCCAAUAUCUCAAAGAAUGUGGUAAUCGAAUCUGGAAAAAUUUCAUGGAUUGAAGAGUCAUGAUCAUCAUGUAUUAUUCCAACGAAUACUUUUGGUUGGUAUUCGAAAAUAUUUACCAAAAGAAGUGGUUGAACCAAUUAUUUAGUCGUCCAAUUUCUUUCAACAAUUAUGUGCGAAGACAUUACUCAUGGAGGACAUUAAGAGGUUGGAAGAUGAUAUUGUGUAUAUAUUGUGCAAGUUUAAACAAAUUUUUCCACCGGCUUUCUUUGUUUCCAUGAUUCAUUUAUUGGUACAUUUACCCAAAGAGGCAAGACUUGCAGGUCCUGUGAGUUAUCGGUGGAUGUACCUAAUAGAAAGGUACAUGUUUAUUAAUUUUUUCUCAAUUGUAAGUUUCUAAGUCAAUGCUAACUAGAUGAACAAUAUAUCUCACAAAAUUUAUUCAUUUGUAGAAUGUUAGGGACGUACGAAAAAUAUGUGCGAAAUCGAGCUCGACCUGAAAGAUCCAUUGCGGAAGCAUAUGUUGCACAGGAAUCUCUUACUUUUUGUAUCAUGUACCUUCGAAUAAUUGAGACACCUUUUAAUCGACCCGAACGGAACUUUGAUGGUGGCUCUAGACAAGAUAAGCUUUCUAUUUUCUCCCAAGUAGCGCGACCAUUUAUGAGUAGUUCAAAAAUUUCACUCACAAAUGAUGACAUUGAGAUUGCUCAGUGGUUCAUAUUGAACAAUUGGUUCUUCCUUUUCUAAUGUAAGUUCAACAUCUAUGCAUUUAGUUUGAUUAUUUGUACUACACAUACAUGCAGUAUAUAUACGUAAACUUGAUGUGUAUGGAGUAUGAGGAAAUGAUGAAGAGUAAAAGUGAUGUGGACGUACAGAAAAGGCAUAGAAAAUUGUUUCCUAAUUGGUUUUGGGAACGCGUAAGUCAUUAUCCAGUUGUAAUAAGUUUCACCAUUUUUCAUGAACUUAAUAAUUUUAAUACUUAAUUUUCAUUAUUAUUUAAUCUAAAAUUAGGUAAGGAGUUUAGAGAAGGCGAAAUCAUCCUUGUACAAUGAUGAGCGAUUUGAGUUAGCAAGAGGUCCUCUUCGAGCUGAAACAUACCAAGGUUUUAUUGUGAAUGGAGUAAAGUUUAUAGCUGCAGAACGAGAUGAUAAGCUAACCACGCAAAAUAGUGGUGUCUUUGUGCCUGGCAAUCAUGAUACUGAUAAUGUAGACUUCUAUGGAAAGUUGAUAAGUGUGGUUGAGCUACUGUAUAGACAAUGUUACAAGGUUGUUAUAUUCAAGUGUCACUGGUUUAAUACAAACCCUCAUAGGUCAAGAUCAGUUAAACGCGACUACCACUUACUAUCUGUAAACUCUAGUACUCGGUGGUAUGAUAGUGAUCUUUACAUUCUUGCAACAAUGACAAAACAAGUAUUUUACGUAAAUGAUCCCAAAUCAGGUGGUGGUUGGAAAGUAGUUCAAAAGAUGGAUCAUAGGCACAUAUAUGAUAUACCAAGGAAGGAGAUGUAUAAUGGCAGUGAUGACAAUAAUGAUGUGGCGUAUCAAGAAACUUCUUCUUCGGAUGUACCGAAUAUGGUCGAAGCUCGAAAUUAUGAUGUUAUUCAAACACUACUUCAUAUAGAUGACGUUCCUCCUGUGUUGAUUGAUCCAAAAUCCUUUGAUCGACGCCUUGUUAGAGGAAAUGAUGGAGACACAGAUGAUGAAAGUGAUGAAGACAACAAUGGCGAUUUGGUUUAUAAGAUCAGUGAACAUGGUUUGGAGGACAGUGAUUUAGAAGAGUAAGAUCAUUACUUUCACCAUAUAUUUAUACAAUCUAUAUUUAAUAAUAUAUUAUGUUCUCUAUAAAGCAUCUAAUUAAAGCUUUUACAUGUUUCCCUCUUAGUAUAGAUAUUACUUUGAUAUGGUCUAAUGCUUGUAUUCUAAUUAUUACUUUCAUAGUGUAGAUGAAUUUGAUUUCUCAAAAGAAACAUUCUAACAACUCACAUGUACUUUCAGCACCUAAGAUGUCUCGAUUGACUAGCACAAAUGUGCCUCCACUACUUCAAAAAUCACGAUCUAGUAGCUCUUCACUAAUAGGUUUGUACCUCCUCUUUCAUUGCGACAUUCAUUACAAGCCAAUAGGCUAGUACCUCCCUUAUCUCCGACAUCUCAAUCCCCCAACACUUCUCUACACCAGCAUCACAAAAUUGUGACUCGAUCAACCAUCAAAAAUAUUCCCACUUGUUCUGGUCCCUUAAUCGAGACUACUCGUGCAUCUACACAUCCUGAGAUAAUAGUGAGGACCCUUCCUAAUAUGGUCCCUCCAACUACAAGCUUGAUCAACCACCUUCUCAUCCUACAAGUGCUGUUCGUCGUCACCCAGGUCGUAAACAAGGCUCAGGUACCAUGCCAUUAUUUUAAUUUUCAAUUCUGAUUUACAAUAAGCAUGAUAAUUGUAGCUUAAGGUUUAAGAGUGCUAGCUGUCUAUGAAUGUGUUUAAGAGAAUGUGUUUCAACAAUCAUGACCAUUGAAGAGAAUGUGUUUCAACAAUCAUAAUUUGUUGUGGCUAUGCCAUUUGGAUUCUAGUGUCUUGAACUUCCCAGUUCUCAUUGACAUGUUCUAAUGUGCUACUGGGGAUUUUCUUUUGAAUAUCAAUGGUGUGUAUUUGAGUAAUGCUUAGAACUUCCUAGUUCUCAUUGACAUGUUCUAAUGUAUAGUUGAGGCUUUUCUUUUGAAUAUCAAUGUAAUGCUUAUGUUUUGGAUGGGAAAAAGAGUUGUUUCACAUCAGGGUUGAUUCUGCAAACUGAAGCAUCUGAUUAUUGUACCUGUCAUUAUUUUAGAAUAUGUCCUUACAUAUUUCNNNNNNNNNNNNNNNNNNNNNNNNNNNNNNNNNNNNNNNNNNNNNNNNNNNNNNNNNNNNNNNNNNNNNNNNNNNNNNNNNNNNNNNNNNNNNNNNNNNNNNNNNNNNNNNNNNNNNNNNNNNNNNNNNNNNNNNNNNNNNNNNNNNNNNNNNNNNNNNNNNNNNNNNNNNNNNNNNNNNNNNNNNNNNNNNNNNNNNNNNNNNNNNNNNNNNNNNNNNNNNNNNNNNNNNNNNNNNNNNNNNNNNNNNNNNNNNNNNNNNNNNNNNNNNNNNNNNNNNNNNNNNNNNNNNNNNNNNNNNNNNNNNNNNNNNNNNNNNNNNNNNNNNNNNNNNNNNNNNNNNNNNNNNNNNNNNNNNNNNNNNNNNNNNNNNNNNNNNNNNNNNNNNNNNNNNNNNNNNNNNNNNNNNNNNNNNNNNNNNNNNNNNNNNNNNNNNNNNNNNNNNNNNNNNNNNNNNNNNNNNNNNNNNNNNNNNNNNNNNNNNNNNNNNNNNNNNNNNNNNNNNNNNNNNNNNNNNNNNNNNNNNNNNNNNNNNNNNNNNNNNNNNNNNNNNNNNNNNNNNNNNNNNNNNNNNNNNNNNNNNNNNNNNNNNNNNNNNNNNNNNNNNNNNNNNNNNNNNNNNNNNNNNNNNNNNNNNNNNNNNNNNNNNNNNNNNNNNNNNNNNNNNNNNNNNNNNNNNNNNNNNNNNNNNNNNNNNNNNNNNNNNNNNNNNNNNNNNNNNNNNNNNNNNNNNNNNNNNNNNNNNNNNNNNNNNNNNNNNNNNNNNNNNNNNNNNNNNNNNNNNNNNNNNNNNNNNNNNNNNNNNNNNNNNNNNNNNNNNNNNNNNNNNNNNNNNNNNNNNNNNNNNNNNNNNNNNNNNNNNNNNNNNNNNNNNNNNNNNNNNNNNNNNNNNNNNNNNNNNNNNNNNNNNNNNNNNNNNNNNNNNNNNNNNNNNNNNNNNNNNNNNNNNNNNNNNNNNNNNNNNNNNNNNNNNNNNNNNNNNNNNNNNNNNNNNNNNNNNNNNNNNNNNNNNNNNNNNNNNNNNNNNNNNNNNNNNNNNNNNNNNNNNNNNNNNNNNNNNNNNNNNNNNNNNNNNNNNNNNNNNNNNNNNNNNNNNNNNNNNNNNNNNNNNNNNNNNNNNNNNNNNNNNNNNNNNNNNNNNNNNNNNNNNNNNNNNNNNNNNNNNNNNNNNNNNNNNNNNNNNNNNNNNNNNNNNNNNNNNNNNNNNNNNNNNNNNNNNNNNNNNNNNNNNNNNNNNNNNNNNNNNNNNNNNNNNNNNNNNNNNNNNNNNNNNNNNNNNNNNNNNNNNNNNNNNNNNNNNNNNNNNNNNNNNNNNNNNNNNNNNNNNNNNNNNNNNNNNNNNNNNNNNNNNNNNNNNNNNNNNNNNNNNNNNNNNNNNNNNNNNNNNNNNNNNNNNNNNNNNNNNNNNNNNNNNNNNNNNNNNNNNNNNNNNNNNNNNNNNNNNNNNNNNNNNNNNNNNNNNNNNNNNUUUCUUACUUUAUGAAGUUCAUUUACAUGUUCGACUUUUAUUAUUGGUUUCACAGGUACAGAUAUAGGACACUUGCUAAGGACUCUUGAUGAUCAUCCUACUCGAGGAGCAUGUAAACAAAUUAAGAUAUCUCGUAUCGUUCGUACAACUCGAGAAAAAAUUCGAGCUUUAUGCAAUUCAGUAAGUAGACGAGCAACAAGUUCUGAAGUACAUAGUUUAUUGGUUCAUGAUAUCGGAGCCAUCAUUCGGUCACAUUGCCCAAUGAAUAUGGGUUAUUAGCGGACCAUUUCUUCAAGUGAGAAGAAGGACCUUAUAGAUGAGAUCACGGUAAGUAUACAUAAAUGUGUUUAUGCUGUUGGAAAUUUAAUAGCCAAAUAAAACUACAUGAAUAAAUUAAAAGCACAUUACUCAUUUCAUUUUGUGAUUUUAUUUAUUCUUACUUCGUGGUUUAUUUUCUAGAAUUGGAUAGUUUGUUCUAUUUGUGAUUUCUUUUUAUUUUAUGAUUUUUUAAUUAUGUCAAUUCCUGACGAACUUCGAGAUAGAUUUGAAAGACUCGAGAUUGGCAAAUUAUAUUAAUAGACUAUACAACGGGAGGUAUAGAGAGUUUAAGGCUGAGUUGAGUGCAUACUAUAAGUUGCAGAAGACACAUGAGAAUGCAUUAGCCCCCCUUUGGAGAUGCUCGAUAGAGGUGUAAAUCAAUGUGUGGACCUAUGUAAUCAUUUGAACUCCAAUAAGUUCAAGGUAUUUAUUGUGUAAUUCUUUACCAGUUCACAGCUUUUACUUCUAAUUUUGUUAUGUAAUAGCUAUAUAUUUUUCUUUGCAGAAAGCAUCAUAGUGAAUCGAUCGAAGAAGAAGUACAAUCAUUGUACUGGUUCACGUCCUUUCUCUUAUAUAGUGGAGAAGAUGGCUGAUAUAGUGAAUUUAUUUGGUUAUUAACAUGACAUAAUUCAAUAAUUUUGCUACGAAUUUGAAUAUAAUAACUGAAACAUGUAUUUUUUUCUUAUUAGGAUGGUUCAAAAUUUCCCGAAGUCGACACAUUUGAGUUUGCUUAUUCUGGGAAGAACAAGUGUUGGACUUGUAAUGCAGCCAAAGCUCAACAUGUAAGAAAUACUCAACAUAAUUUUUUUUUUAAUCGUGUUUUAUCUACCAUGUUUUACACAAAAUAUAUAUUGUUCAGUUAGAUUAAAAAAUUAUAUUUCUUAGCUUGUGCUAUAUCUCUUGUGUACAAUUGUGUUAUCUCUUGCAAACUUUGAUUUUAUGGAUUGUUUUAUAUAUCUUGUUGGUUGUGUUUGUAGGAUGAGAUGCUUGUUAAAGAGCAUGAAUAUCUUAUAGAGAAGGCAAAUGAACAACAACUUCCCGAAGAUAUCCAUUUGGAGGAGAUACCGAUAGAUGACCCUGAUGCCGGAAUUAAUAUCAUGGUGUUCGUUCUAGGUACGAAGCCCGGGCAUCGAACUCUUAGGUUAGGAGAUGGUCGCCUUCGAGACAUUGGGAUAUCUUCUUCCAAUGUACACAAUUUGGAGAAGGAGUUGGAAGCAGAACGUGCUGCUUGAAAGGUAGUCGAUGCAGCUCGAGUAAACAUGGAGCAAAAUAUGCAAAACAAGCUAAAGGUUGUUGAGCAACAAUUCAAUUCUACAUUACAAUAUUGGCAUCAUUCUAUGCACCAACUAUGUGGUAAAGUUCCUGGCUUCAUUGUACCACCAUUUAUACCAUUGUCAAUAGAGAAUAAUGGUAAUGAGAAAGAUAAUGCUAUUGAGGAUGAAGAGAAUGACUUCGGUGAGAAUCAGUGCAUGUCUAAUUCACGAGACUAAAGAGUCAUGUUUUUUAUUUGCAUAACAAUAGAUAUAUAGCAUGUUUGCUCUGUUUAUUUUAACUUCAGAUGUAAUCAUACUUGAUAAAACUCAUUUAUUCGUGCUUUGAUGAAAUAUUUUGGAUUUAAUAUUGAUUGACAUUGCGUUUUAAUCGAUUUAUUAUGGUUUUUGUAUCUUUAUAUUAUUUUAAAUGAGGUUAAAAAAAUUAGUAUAAUAUAAAUAAAAAAUAAAAAAUGUAGAAAUAAUUUAAUUUCUCCCUACAAAUUCCUUUUUAAUAGCUUACAAAUAUCAAUUUCCUACUAAAAAUUAUUUGCAGAAAAACAGGGUUCCGCCCACAAAAUAAUUUGUUCCACGUUGUUACAAACUUUUAAUUGUAGGAAAAGAUGUUUAUACUUGUCCCACAAAUAAAUUUUCCACACAAAAUAUUAUUUGUGGGGAGUAACAUGAUUUAUCCCACAUGAUAAUUUGAAGGGACAAGCGAAAUCGUUUUGUGUGUAGAAGUAACUUUAGCAGACGGAUUACUUUGUGGGAGGAAAACUUAUGCGACAAAUUGUAUUUGUCUCCAAAGGAUUCACAGGAAAAAAUCUUUGCCCACAAACUUCAAACAUUUGUUGUCUUAUACCUAUCCCCUCGAUGUUUGCCUUACAAACGUGCCUACAAAUUUUUUCGUCUGCAAAUGUAUUACCCCACAAAUAAGAGCCUUUCCCCACAAAUAAAUUUUGUAGGGAAAACAUAAAAUUCUUGUAGUGAAACAUGAAUUUGAAAGGAAAUCCCCCCCCCCAACACCAAAAAAAGUUAUGUAAUUACUCAAAAGAAAUCUCCCUCCCAAAAAAGCAUGCAUUAUUGAGAUCUAUCGAUGACAGCAAAUAAACCACAAAUGGAAUUAAUCUGUAAAACCUUAAUUACAAGUGAUAUACAAGCACUCAUGGCGAUUUUUUUGUACCUGGUCGUGCAACAUAAAUCAUUUUCCCUCCUUUGGUAUGUUCGAAGGAUGAAUGUAUCGAAGAGGAAAGUGGAAGCUCGAAGCAAAGAGCAGAUUGAAGCGAUUUAGAGCAGUCGUUCGAAAAUUUGGUGAAUUAGGUUUUUAUAUUUCCAUCAAUUGGGUUUUUAUGGGUCGGGUCGAGUUGGAUUUAAUUGGACUGGAGAUGGGUUGGGCAAAGUUAAAUGAGUCAUUUGAAUUGGAUUUAGUGGGGAUUAAUAACAACUGGCAAAGAACAUUGCUAGUUGUUAUAUUUUUUGCAUCAGUCAAUGUGCGUUGCAAAAGGGUUUCAGAAACAUUCAAAGAACAUUGCUUUUGCAACAGCCAAGGACCACUGCAAACAUUAAUACCUUUUGUAACAGUCAAGGAACGCUGCAAAAAUUAAAACCUUUCGCAAGAGUUAUUGAACGUUGUAAAAAGAUGUUUCACCAACACACACCAAACAUUGCUGUAGAUAAAACCUUCACAACGUUCAGAAAUCUUUGCAAAAUGAUAGAGUCACAAUGGUUGCUGAAUGUUGCGAAAUGUGACAUUGGCAAAAUGCAUUGAUAUGUUGUUGUCAAAUCUCAAUUAUUAACACCAAGAGCAACAUACAGUUAGUGAAUGUUGCAAUAGACCCCUUUAGCAUCAUGCAAUUGAUGAUUGUUGCCUUUCACAUGUUGCAAAAGGCGAAUUUAUUUAGUGUGAGUUUUUUACUAUUAUUACGUGACCCCUUUUAAGUCCUCCACACGAAGCUAUUGACUAUAUAUUAUUAUGAGUUCCAAAUAUUUGAUGGGUUAUUUCUCCAUUCUAUCCAUUGUCCCCGACAAUGAACUACGGACACACCAUUAGUAUUCAUUAUUAAGGUAAUCUCCCAUAUAUAGGAAAUGACCUGUAUCUCCAUCAUUCGAGAGGGACUUUGCUAAAUGCACAUUAAACUUUACAUAAUGGAUUAUAUGAUGUCAUAUGUCACUCUUCAUUUGCUAAUUUAAAAUACCGUCAACUUUUUCAUUCAAUCUUUCCCCUUCACAUCAUUUAUAUAAUCCCAUUUAAGAGUCUUAUGAAACUAUAAAAGAGUAAUAGAAUAUGAGAAUCUUAUAAAAUAUCAUUUAAACAAUAAGCAAAUAAUACUGCUUUCACAACACUCUCAUUUUUUAUUCAAUAUGAGGCAUGGCCUUUAUAUCACGAAAAUUGUGAUAUUUAUUUUUACUUUUUAGAGCAUUAAAAGAUUUACGUUUAGAAAUUCGAUAUUAACCACAAGAUUUAUGUAUCCAUCACAUUUCUUUAUCUUUUCAAAAUGUACUACAUUUUUUUCCUAUGAUCAUUCCGGAUUCUUUUUGGUUCGACUUUUAACUUAGAGAUUAUAAACAAAUAAUUUUGGAAACGAAUUAAAAACCGACCCAAGAACUGGAUCAGAAUUGUUCGCUGACUGAAUGUGAGAUCCAAAAUUUCAUCGAUUUCCAUCGAAAGUAGACCUAAGUGGCUAGUUAGAUCCGGUGUUGGUUAGGGUGCUUCCAAGUAAAAAAUGCCAACCCUAGUUGAAGCAUUGAAUAAACCUCAAUAUUUAAAAAAUAAAAAAUAAAGAGUUGGAUUCAUCUCGGAUUUUCGUUUCCAAAUACUAGAAUACAGAACCUAACAAAACUAUAUAUUUGGUUCUUGGUUUAGCACUUGGAACAUUUAAACUUUAAGAAAAAUAAAUUUUAUUUAUUUUCAAAAAUUCUUAUCAGCAAUUCGUGCACUUUUUUUCCCGCAGUCUCCACUAUUUAUUCCAUUUUUGAAGUUUUUAGAGAAAAUAAAUACGAAAUUUAUAAAUAAAAAAUUUGUUUUUAACUGAAAUUUUUUUGUAUCCAAGACAUUCUACAUUUUCCACAAGUUAUGUAUCAUUUUGCUAUUUUUCCUUUUCUCAAAAAAUUUGUAUGACAUAGUAUGUUCAGAAUUUUAUGGAUAUUCUAAUUAACAGUAAUAUUUUACCAAAAGAAUAAAAUGUUUACCAACAAAUUUUUUCCAUUGAAAUUUUUAUGCUUUUUUGUAAUUACCUAUGAAAUCGUUCGUUGAAAAAUCCGUUGAAAAUUCCACACAUUCUAAUAGUGCUACUGAGAAUGCAUAUGUUCUUCAAAAUGAAACAAAUAUGAAGUUUUUAAAUAAUAAUUUCUUUUUUUUUUUUUUGAAAAAAUAAUAUCUUAACUUAAUUUUAAGGAAUGCACUUGUAAUUGUAGAAAAACAUUUUAAAGUAGGUUUCUAAUGUAUAUAGAAAUAUUAUCAAUAACUUUCUCUCAAUAACAAUGCAUAAUGCAUGGUAUACAAACUAUCUCAUCAAAUUUGUUCAAUAUAUACUCUAAGGAAUAAAUCAAACUAUUUGGUGGAUAUGAUCAUGUUCUUUAUUUAAUAAAAGGAUUGAAUUAGUUGUCUCAUUGUCUUAUUUAAUUUAAACGGUCAAACUGUUUAUUUAUUAAAAGAUUAAUAAAUAGUGCUUUUCAACUUAUUAAUCGAACAAGAAAAACAUUACAGCCUAAUUGCACUUUUUAAGCAUAAUUGUAUUGUUAUUGGCUCGAAUUAUUUCCAUCAAGACAAGCUUUUAAUUGCAUAAAACAUAUAGAUGUUUAUGCUAAUCGUCCUCUCAAAUGUAUCGACAUUUUAUUUGAGGGGAAUAAAUGAAGACCCAAUCAAGUGUUAAAAGCAAAGACUUAUCCGGUCAGUGACCGGAAGUUGAUUCUUAUUUGAAAGGAGAAGUGCAAUUCAAUAAUAAUAAUAAUAAUAAUAAUAAUAAUCACUUGUCCUUAUAUGUCACGUAAGACAACUGCCAGAGUAAGAGAUUGUGAAUGGCAUUACUCAAUCCAAAAUACAAAUAAAUUGCAAAAUACAAAAAAUAUCAGCAAACUCUCCACUAUGAUGGUUGCAUGUGCUAAGAAAAGCAGCAAGAUAGAUAGAUACUUGAUGCAGGUCCAUUCUCAAGGGUCCUAAUUAAAAGGUAUUCACUUUUCAUGUUUUCUUCACCAUAAAAUAAUUGUAUUAAACGGAAAGUCCUUAAAAUAAUAGGAUUUGAUCAUAGGUCAAAUGAUUUUGUUUCAACUUUUUUUUUUUUUUUUUAAUCUCCAGUGGAGAGAAUAGAUAAAAGGGUAAAAUUCAGUGUACACUUCUAAGUUUCAACCACUAUAUUCAUAUGCAAUCAUUUAAUGACAAGUUGCGAAAUGAAGUCUAACUUUUAGACUCUGUGAUUGUUAAAAUUUGAAAAACAAAUUUCAUUGCAUCUCUUAAUUCUUUACUCAAAACUAAGAAGAUAAAUUAGUGUCACCCAACAUUAGAGCUUGUUUAAUAAAGAUUUAUUCUUUAAAAAAGUUUUUUUUUUCUUUUCAUAGAUUUUUAAUUAAAAAGUAAGGAAAAAUUAUGAUGAAACGAGAUUAAUGAUAAUUUUUUUUAAGAGAAUGCUUGGUUUAAUAUUAAUAUAAAGAAAAGUAAUUGUCAAAUAAUCAAAAUCAAACAAUGAUUUACUCUCUCAAGAGUGAAAGUCAAAAUUGGUAUAGUGAGGUAGAGAGAGUGAUAGAGUCUUCUAAAGUUGGGUUGGGGAUAAUUAAACACUAAUUAUAAAUAACAACGAAAAAGUCAGCGCAGCACUCAGGUCCACCAACUAUUUCUUUGAAAGUGGGGUUUUUUUUAUAAAGAUGAACUUUCUAGUAGUGUAUGUUUGGUAGAGCUUAGCACCAAUUUGAUUUUCAUUCUUUUUAAAUUGUUUUUUACAGAAUUAUUUUUAACCACAUAUUCACAUAAUAAAAUAUUCGACACGUAACUCUAAAAUUUUUGCUUCUUUUUUAAUCACAAAUUAUCCUAAAAAUACUAUUCAAAACUCUCUUUUAGAAUGACAAUCAAACAGGAUCUUAAGUAGGGAUGUCAAUUGGGCCUCGCCAGCUCGGCUCGUGAAAAAGAUGCUCGUGGGCGGCUUGGGCUCGUGAUUUCACGAGCCAAGCUGGCCUCGCCUGGAGGCGAGCUGAGCCCGCUCGGCUCGUCGUCCCGACUCGUGGCUCGUUAAAAAUAACGGCUCGUGGCUCGUCAAAAGUGACGAGCCAGUGACCAAAACGGUCGCAAAAGUGACCGUUUGGUCAAUGAACUUUUUUUUCCUCCCCAUUUUUUUACUAUAAAUACCCCCUUCCCCCAAAUUUUUUUUCAUAUCAAUUGCUCUUCCAAGAUUACAACUCUCUCAACUCUCUUUUAUUAUAUCAAUUAUCGAAUUUUUACUCUCUUGUACUGCAAAAUAUACAAUAUCAAUUCAAUUUUUCUAGUUUAUUAGUUACAAUUUCAAUUCAUCCAAUUCUCAAUUCUCACAAUCUCACUACAUUUAUAUUCAUUUAGUCAAGAUUUCAUCAUAAACAAUCACAGAAAUGGAUCAACGUUUAUUUGUUGAGAGCUUGUUCGAUACAGGAUGUGAGCCAUUGCCACAUCAUGGAGAAUCACCUAGGACGCUGCAAAAUCAAUUUCCAAAUGAAUUUGCCGGUCUAAAUGACAUACCGAUACCUGAAGAUGUUCACAUUCACGGUCUGGGAAGCCACACUCCAAUUGAUUUGGAUGAUAUUAACAUUCCUGAAACGGAAUAUGAAGAUGAAGAUCAGCAAUUAAAUAUCCCAGAUGCGAGGGGAAAGCGAAAGGCCAAAAAACAAGCAAAAUGUUGGGAUCACUUUAAGUUGAUUUCAACGGGAAAAGUCAUUGAUAGCCUUGCAGAAUCUAAAACAGUAUGUAAAUACUGUCAACAAAGAUUGGCAUGACAAAAAGGAAUUGGUACCACUCAUCUCAACCGCCACUACAAAUCAUGUGCAGCCAGACAUGGACUUCUUCUAGCUGGUCAACCACAAUUACAAUUUGGCAAUUCAGGCGCCGGUUCUAUAACUUCACCCCUAUCCACGUGGGUGUAUUUGGAGAACGAGACUCGAACCGGAAUGGUGAAAUUUGUUGCCGCCACUGAGUUGCCUCUGGCUAUUGCAGACAACCAACACUUCGUCUUGUUCGUGAAAGAAUAUCUACAACCGAGGUACGUUGGGGUAAGUCGUAACACUCUUCAUGCCGAUACAAUAAAUUAUUUCGAUAAUUCAAAACAACAAUUAAUUAUGAAUUUACAACAAUAUGGGGAUGUUAUAUCCUUAACUUCUGAUAUAUGGGAAGAGGUUAAUAAAAGAGCAUAUAUAGCUGCAAUCGCACACUAUAUAGACCCAUUUUGGUGCAUGCAUAAGAAAAGUAUUGCUUUUAGAAUUAUUGAAUUUCCUCACAAUAUUAAUAAUAUAUAUAAUGCUAUUAUCAGUAUUGUUAGAGAAUAUUAUUGUGAGAGUAAAAUUCGAUCUUUUACUUUUGAUAAUGCUAGCGUUACUAAGGUAGUCAUCGAUAAAUUGUGUAGGACACUUCAACCUGAUUUUGGUGGGUAUUUGUUUCAUAUUCGUUAUGUGUGUCGUAUCUUGAAUUUAAUUGUGCAAGAUGGUUUAAAACAUAUAAAUGAUGAACUUCAAAGAAUUAGGAAUGCAUUAGUAUAUAUUACGAUCUCUCCUAAUAGAAAACAAGCAUUUAAAGAUUUUUGUGCCGAUUUAGGGGUGAUGACUGCUAAAACAUUUGUUAGCGACAUAGGUCAUAAAUGAAACUCUACAUACUUGCAAUUAAAAUCAUGUGAAAGUUUCGAAAAUUUAAUAACUGACUUUUAUAAUAAUAGUCAUGUUAGAAGUGAUGAUGAUGGUAUGUUAAAUGAAUCCGAUUGGAUUUUAGCUUUGAAAGUUAAAAGAUUUUUGACAUCUUUUUAUGAGACCACAAAAAUUUUAUCCGGCGUUUAUUAUCUCACAAACCGUAUGGUGCUUGAACGUCUUUAUAUAAUUGCAGGAACAUUCCAUAAAUAUAAAAAUGAUCUUGCUUUUAUUGAAAUUUUAAUUGCCGUGGAAUUAAAGUUUAGAAAAUAUUGGGAAGAACUGCCUAUGUUAUUUCCUUUAGCAUGCGCAAUGGACCCCCGAUAUAAUAUUUUGGGAACUAAAUACGUAAUUGAUCAAAUCAAUAAAACUUUAAUACUUGAUACACCUAUCACCUAUAAGAAUUUAGAGCAAACAUUAUGUGGAAUGUAUGAUUUAUAUGCGGAAACAAUGGGUGCAAAUGUUAGUCUGGUACCCUCUGCUGCACCUACUCCUGCUGAAAUUGAAAAAGAUGCUGCAGAAAUAAUGAAUUUAUUUUAGGGCAUUAAUACAUUUAGAUAUGAUGCAACUGAAAUGUGUUCAUCGAGUGCCAUGUCGUCUACAUCUGCAUCUCAUCAAACAUCGACCGAAACUCAAAAUGUGAUGCCUGUCGAAUUAAUUGAUUAUUUCAAUCAUAAUAUGCCAACAGACAGAACAAUUAAAAAAUUUUCAGAAGAAGUAAUUGAAUUCUGACAAAAGUAUGAAAGACGUUGGCCAAUUGUUUCUGCAAUUGCAAAAGAUCUAUUGACACCUCUGGUUAGCACUGUUGCUUCGAAGUCUGCUUUUAGUGCAGGUAAAAGGGUUUUGACUGAUGUCAGGAGUCGACUGAAAGAAGAUGUUUUGAAAGCGUUAAUGUGUGUGAAUGAUUGGCAGAGCGCUCAUUUUCGACUAUAAGAUAAAUACACUGAAAGUGCAUGUCGUCAGGUAAGUGAUAUUUGAUUUAAUUAUAUUAAUCAAAAUUUUUUUUAUUUUUUAAUCGUUAAAUUUAAUUUUUGUUAAAAAAUUGUACACGUUACAACAAGUUGUUCGUGCACAAUUUUUAACUCCGCCUACUUAAAAUUGAUGUAGCCGGUCCCAAGCUCGGAUAAAGAAUGAGGGUUUACAUUUUAUUAACUUUAAAAAGAAAUCAAAAAAAUAUAUUUUUUGUAAAUGUAUUUCAAAAAAUAAUUCUUUUUCAUUAUAUAAAUAUUUUAUACUUUAUAAAAAGUAUUACAAAUUACAAUAUGAUAUAAAUAAAAAAAAUAAAAACUUGUUUUCGUUAAAUUAUUUGUAUUUUUUAACACUUUUGAUUUUUAAAGCUCUAUUCUUUAUUUUAUAUAUAAAAAAAAAGGCGGGCCCACGAGCCGAAGCUCGGCUCAGCCCACGAUCUCGGACGAACCACGAGCUCGUGGGCCGAGCCAAGCUCAGCUCGUUGAAAACGAGCCACGAGCACGAGCCGAGCUCGUGACAUUAAGGGCCGAGUUGGCUCGGUUCGAUCCAUUGUCAACCCUAAUCUUAAGCAUAGUAAAAUGUUAGUAUUGUGUAUUGUACGAGAACAUGUUUAUAGAUUUUACUUUCAUUUACAAAUAAAGAAAUAAGUGUCAUACUGUCAAACCAUAAUGGAUAUGUGCAAUUUCUUUCUUUUUCUUACACAAAUUCUUUAAGUCAAAUAUUUAUAAAGAAAAUUUCAAAGCAUAUAAUAUUUGAUAUGGUUAAUAGCAGAAAACGUCCCUACGUUUGACACUUAUUGUGGAAAAUGUCCAUACGUUUCAUUUUUUUGCAUUUUCGUCUUUAUUUCAAUGUUUCAUUGCUAAAAACGUCAUUUUCAUUGUUUUUUAAUAUAAAAUGAUCAAAAUAUCUUCCUAUUUAAAUAAAACCAAAAAGAAAAGAAAAGAAAAGAAAAGAAAAAUAAAGAAUAAAUCGCAAUUUUACUCCUAAAUAUUUUAAAAAGUGCAAGUGAGUCCAAAUAAUUAUUAAAAGGCCUAAUAGUACAAAACGUCCCUACGUUUGGCAUGUAGUGUGCAAAACGUCCCAACGUUUCAAAUGGAUGAAAAUGACUUUUUCCCAAUAAAACGUGAAAAUAGGGAUGAAAAUGCAAAAAAAUUGAAACGUAUUGACUUUUUCACAAUAAGUGUCAAAGGUAGGGACGUUUUUUACAAGAAGUGUCAAACGUAGGGAUGUUUUGUGCUAUUAGACCUAGGAUACGCAUAUUAUGGCCACAUGGACUACAUAAGUACAUAAUGCAGCUACACAUUUUCCUUAAAAAGUGAACUAGCAAUCAUCAAUAAAUGAAUAAAAAGGAUAGUGGAGAAAUCUUAUUUCAUAUAGACGUUUAUAAAAAAUUUGAAAAACUAUUAAAUAUUUCAUCAUUAUACAUGUAAAUGCCAAUUAUGCCCUUUCCUAUGUAACACGUUCGACGGUGAAUGUGAAACUUAGGUAGUAAGAUACCAAUUAGCUUCCGUAGGGUAAAAUUUUCAAACUUAAUUCUCAAUUACAUAUUAUAAUAUUAUCCAUAAAUUAUUUUAUUUAUUUAAAAAUUUAAUAAUAUCUUCCGAUGCUAAAAUUUAGCGUAAAUGUAAAAUUGAGAAAACAAAAAAUAAAGGAUGAAAAAAUUAUAAUUAAUUCAGCAACCAAAUAAAAUAUGUCACACAACUGUUAUGCCCUCUUCCAGAUGUUACACAAGCUUCAACCUUUGACUUUCCAGCCAGAAGAACAUAAAUAGAGUAACCAACCAAAGUAACAAGCAAAUCAAAAUUUAACUCCGAUUUGCCUAUCAUUAUUCAAAAACUCCUUUUUUUUUUUUUUUUUUUUUUGAUAAACUUAUUUUCAACCACAUAUUUUCACGAUAAAAUAUUUUGCUCAUAAAUCCAAAAAUUUUCCUUACUCUUUAACCACACCUUCUUCAAAAUAUCCUAUUUCAAAAUUCAAUUUUCUAAAAACACUUUUUUUAAAUGAACAUAAAACAUGGGCAUACGAAAGUUGGUAGAACAGGAAUAUAAUACAGACAUCCAGAAGAAUCUUAAACGGUGUCGCGAAGAGCAAAAAGUGUGCUUUAAUUUUGACUGGUGUGUAAGGAAGAAGCGUAAAAGUAGGGGGAAUAUACCGAUGAAGAUCCUGGUUGGUGGCUUUAUUUAAAUACCCACCGAUCAAUUUCACCUCUACACAUACAUGAUUACAUACGCAUAUAAAUACCAGAUUUCAACAUAGAUAAUCAUAAGUUCGCACAAGAGUUUCUCUCUCUACUCUUUUGCUUCUGAUCUUGAUCCAGAAACAAACAGGUUGGUUGUGUGUGUGUGUGUGUGUGUAUAUAUAGAGAGAGACAGAGAGACAGAGAGAACUUUUGCAUUUUUAUGUGCAUGCAUUAUGAUUUAAACACAGAUAUACGGUUUUUUUUUUUUUUUUUUUUUUUUUUUUUUUUUUUGGGAUUCUUUGUCGUGUUAUUCAUGCAAAGGUGAUGGCGAUGGGUAUUUUUUCUAAUGGAUGUUUACAGAUUUUAGAUGUUUAUGUAGACUUUUUACAUGUUUUUUCCCUCGAUUUAAAAUAAUAAUAAUUUCAUUUUUUCUACAAUGGAAAUGAAAUAUGAUCUUCAUUCUGCCCGUGUUUUCUUUCUUCCUUUGGUGGAGAGAAUUUGAGAUUUGGAUCAGAAUUUGUCAAUUAGAUAAGCAGAAAGUGGAUUUUUGCUUAUAGUCCAAUUUCUGCUUAUAGUGUGAUUUUAUUUGUUGUAUGUCCCACCUUGUGAGGGUGAGUGGGGUAGGGCGGGUAGGAAGAGAUUCUCCCGGAAUAUACCUUUUUGGCCUUUUGUCUUCCAGUUGUAUUAUUCUGUGGACUUCUCGCUUUUCUAUAAUAUUGAUUCAUAUACCUUUUAUAGUUCUACUAUUUAUAACAUUUAAUUUAUUUGAUUGCAAAAUUUAUUAUAUUUCUUAUAAUAAUGAUUCAUUAAUGGCUGAUUAUUGUCAUUCCCCGCAAUUAUAGAUUUUAGACGAUGAUUUUGCACAAAUUCGUCAGGAAAAAAUCUAUGACGAUUCAUUAAUGCUUGAUUAUUUGGCAUCUAAUUAUAGAUUUUAGACAAUGUCACCUAGACAAAUUUAUGAACGAAAAAUCGAUGUUUAUGAAUCUAUGGAACAGUCAUAGGAUGCUCGAUUUCUGAUCUUUUGAUAAUCGGGUUGUUAAUUUUGUUGCUCGACUUUGUAGGUAAUUGGUGAGAGGAAGAGUAGAGGGAGAGACAAAAGAAGCAAUGGCAGCAGACAAUUUGAAGGUGCUUAAUGCACUAGAUGUGGCAAAGACGCAAUGGUACCAUUUUACUGCGAUUAUCAUUGCUGGAAUGGGCUUUUUCACGGAUGCAUAUGAUCUUUUCUGCAUAUCUUUAGUUACUAAGAUGCUCGGUCGGAUAUACUACCAUGUUGAUGGCUCGAAAAAACCGGGCAGUUUGCCUCCCAAUGUAUCGGCUGCUGUCAAUGGUGUGGCGCUGUGCGGCACGCUUGCUGGCCAGCUUUUUUUUGGGUGGUUGGGCGACAAAAUGGGUAGGAAACGAGUUUAUGGCGUGACUCUCAUGUUAAUGGCCGUGUGCUCGCUUGCCUCGGGACUUUCUUUUGGAAGUGAGCCGAAAUCAGUAAUGGCGACUCUAUGUUUCUUUAGGUUCUGGCUUGGCUUUGGGAUUGGUGGUGAUUAUCCACUCUCCGCGACUAUCAUGUCUGAAUAUGCGAAUAAGAAAACGCGUGGAGCGUUCAUUGCCGCUGUUUUUGCUAUGCAAGGUUUCGGGAUUCUGGCCGGUGGCAUUUUUGCUAUGAUAAUUUCGGCUGCAUUCAACGCCAAGUUCGAGGCUCCAGCUUAUGAAGUCGAUCCAAUUGCCUCGACUGCUCCACAGGCAGACUACAUUUGGAGGAUAAUUUUAAUGGCCGGCGCACUUCCAGCUCUAUUAACGUACUAUUGGCGGCUUAAGAUGCCGGAAACUGCUCGUUACACCGCCCUUGUUGCCAAGAACAUGAAACAAGCCGCAGCAGAUAUGUCUAAGGUUUUGCAAGUUGACAUUGAGGCCGAGCAGCAGAAAGUGGAGUCGGCAGUAGAAGAGAAAAAAUCGUUUGGUCUAUUCUCAAAGGAAUUUCUUCGUCGUCAUGGGCUGCACUUGCUAGGAACAACAACGACGUGGUUCUUGCUCGACAUUGCAUUUUAUAGCCAAAAUUUGUUUCAAAAGGAUAUUUUCAGUGCUAUUGGUUGGAUUCCUCCCGCGAAAACAAUGAACGCGAUAGAAGAAGUUUUUAGAAUUGCACGCGCACAAACUCUUAUUGCACUGUGCAGUACUGUCCCGGGAUACUGGUUCACCGUGGCAUUAAUCGACGUCAUUGGAAGAUUUGCCAUUCAAUUGAUGGGAUUCUUCUUCAUGACAGUAUUCAUGUUUGCUCUUGCCUUUCCUUACAACCACUGGACACACAAAGACAACCGAAUUGGCUUUGUCGUUAUGUACUCGCUUACCUUUUUCUUCGCUAACUUUGGGCCAAAUGCAACAACAUUUGUCGUGCCGGCUGAGAUUUUCCCGGCUAGACUGCGAUCUACAUGCCAUGGUAUAUCAGCUGCAUCUGGAAAGUUGGGAGCAAUUGUUGGUGCUUUCGGGUUCUUGUAUCUAGCUCAAAACCAAGACAAGGCAAAGGCUGAUGCUGGGUAUCCAGCAGGAAUUGGAGUAAAGAAUUCGCUCAUCGUGUUAGGCGUAAUCAACUUGUUGGGCUUAUUAUUCACUUUCUUGGUUCCAGAAUCAAAGGGAAAAUCUCUCGAGGAAAUGUCGGGUGAAAAUGAGGACACAGAAUGAAUCAAAUAGCUUAAAACAGUUCAAGUAGUAUGAAAGAGUACGUAUAAGGUUUGUUUGGUAAGGUUGGCUACACAACAUCAGACCGUAUGCUCAAUUAGAAAGAAUUCUAUCAAGUACUAUAUACCGAAAAUAUUCCUGGCGUUGCAUUUAACUUUUUCAAUUGUUUGUUGCUAUCUUUUUUUUCUGGAAUUAUUCGGUUUUCGUUCUGUUUGCAAGCCUAGUUUCUUAAGGUUAAGCUUUUGAAUCUUUACUUGUAACAUCAGGUGAAUUCUAGUGUAACUUCCUGCUGUUAUUAUCUGGUAGUAGUGUGUUUAUGAAUAAACCAGAUUGAGCUAAUGCGGAAAUAUUGAAUCUUGGAAUGCCGGAUGAAUAACUGUAUACGUACAUCUCUACUAAAUAAGAGAAAAGGCACGAGGAACAUAUUUAGCUCCUCUCGAGUUAGAGUGUGAAGAUUGCGAAUGCCCAACUUGCACAGAAUGUGUAAUUUGAAUUUCACCAAAAAUGGUAGCGACUGCAUCAAUAUUUAGUCUUUGUAGAGCCUCGAGAGACUAUAUUUCACUUCUUCAACUUCCAUGAAAUUGCAGAAAGCAACUACUUCAUCAAAGAUACUAACCGAACAUGCCAUAUGGUAGAAAGCAAAUCUUGUUCAAGUUUAUGUUCAUGUGAUUAAUGUAAAUAACUAGCAUUUAAGUGUGUAUUGAUUUAGUUGGAAAGUAAGUACUAAAUUAUACCUAUAAGCGCACCGAUAGGUUAUUUAAAAAAAAUUUAGUAUAAAAUUAUAAUCGUAGCAAGUUAAAAUGUUAUUACAAAGUAUUGAUAAUUAAAAUGCCUCAGCCUAGUCAAAAUGCACUAAGAUUAUACUUAUAUCGUUAUAAAGUAUUAUUAAUUUUGAAAUUACAAUAACUUUUACAUUUUUAUCUUCAUUUUCAGAACUUCAUGAAUAAAUUCGAAUAAAAUAAUAAAACAUAUAAAAACUUAAAACAGUGUUGGACCGAUUCACUCAUACCCCAAUUAAUUCAUAUUGGCCAAGGCCGAUUUACACCUCUAUACCUAUCACCUCUUACCACCAAGUAAAAAUAGUUGAGAUUCUAAACCAUGACCUUCUUUAAUUAGGGGAUGGACAUUUUGAUACAUAAUUCGACUAAACAUAUCCAGUCGGUUCAAGUAUAUUCUAAGCAACUUUUUAAUUUGAAUCAAAUAGAUUUAGGCUUUGUAUAUGCGCAUUGGUUUGGAUUUCGGGUUCUGCAAUCAAAUCUAUCUGUACCAGACCCAAAUAAAAUUUUCUUCAUUUCAGAUUGAAUGAAGUUAUUUAUUGUUAUGAUAAUGGAACAAAAGGGAUGUGAUAGUCUAUGUGGAAUAAUAGGAAUGGGCAGUUCAAUUUUUAUGAGAGUGAAGGGAGGAGAUGUGGUCUCAAGAAAGAGAAAUGUGAGGGAUAAUGAGUUGUUACAUUACGGAUAUUUUAUCAUCAUGAUGAUAAGUAGUAUUAUUCUUUCAGAUUAGAUCCUUAUUUGAUGUGAUUAAAAUCAAUUUUUUUGUAUAUUUUGAUGGAAAUUAAAGAAAUGUGUAGUUGAAAAGUUAUAUAUUCUAUGAAAUGUGUGGUUGAAAGAAUAAGUAAAAGUCAGAAACAAAAUGUUGCCAAACCUUAUUCUCAAGCCGAUUGAAGUGAACCCUAGCUCUCGCUGGCUGAGCAGGGCGUUGCACCACCAUUUCCUCUACUUGCACUACCAUUCCCAUCGCCACCAAACUCGUUAUUUGUAAGGAAUCGUGUCCAUCCCUCUUUGGAAUUCUGUUAUUUGAUAUUUUGAUGGUGUUGCAGGAAUAUUUUGCCCUGGUUGCGAUCCAAUCGUAGUUGUGACUUGGGCCAACCUGACCUACCAAAUUUGAUCGAAGUCCUAGAAUUUAAUUCUCGAAUUCGAUCAUCGAAUCCGAAGGAAAAUCUACCGUUGAAUUUUAACUUUCUUAUAUUCACUUUCCAAAAUUUGUCUUCUAAUCACAUAGAGCAAUUUUUAUUUUUUAUUUUUUUCUUUUCUUUUCAGGGCUAAUGAUAAGUGUAUUUUAUACACUUAUUCAGGAUCUUAAACAGCGAUGUUUAGUUGUUCCUCUAAUAAAAUAUAUUCCAAAUUGUUGUAUUUUGUGUUAAACAUGUAACCUUCAAUAGUUUAACAAAGAAUUGGAAAGGAAGAAGGACAUUGAUUUCACAAUUGAUGAAUUCAAUGACAAAAUUGCAUUAUUCGAGAAAGAGAAAACCUUGGAGAGAAAUUUUGCAUUAAAUAGACAAUAGAAUUAAAUGGGCCUCAAUUGGAUUUGCUUUGGAAUCCAAAUUCAACAAUUGCUAUCACUUCAAUUAACAAAAGUGGUGGGCUGCUAGAGAAACCAAAAAGGGCAAGAAGACAAAAGAAAAAGGUCGGGGAAAGAGAUUAAUAUAUGAAUAAAAUUACUUGUACAAAGUUGGGUUACAAAGUGUGUUGGCAAAAUCUAAGUCACUGAUUUCAAAUGAUUUAAAAAUCUGUUUUUGAAAUUAUUGGUCUGAAUGUGAUUUUAUCAUCCAACUUUAUCAACUCCCUUUGUAAAUAUAUCAUAACUCUUAAUAUAUACACACCAUACAGAAAUCAGAACAGUCUUUUUCUUUUUGAGAGUCAAACAUUGAGGUUGAAUAGAUAUAUACAUGCAGACACAUGAAAACAAAAGAAAGAGGCAAUUACAAACGUGCAAAAAGACGACAGAGAAAAAAUUGCAAAAAUUAAUCACGUUCCGUCAAUUUUUGAUAACGUCUUUUAUCUCUUCUUUCUCUAAUUUCGACAAUAUACUUUACUAGAUUUUCAUAUUUCUAGGACGUGAUAAACCCUUGUUAUGAGGAUUUUGGUUUAAAUAAUUGAAUUGACAUUAAUUUGUUUGAACGUUUGGAAGUUUAUCAUUGAUUAAUUUGCUUUUCGAUUAAUUGGCAAAUAGUUGAAUUGUUUGUAAAUUUUAUUAAUAUCGAGAGAGAUAUAGAACCGAUAGCACAUAGUGAAAAAUAUUGUGAGGUUCGAUUGAGAAUAGAGAUAUACCUGUAUGCUUUACAUGAUUUUAUAGAUGUUCUAACUCGUCUAAUGCUUUUUUACAAGUUAGUAAUUUUCAUAGAGAAAUAGGAAAGUUACGUGUAGGAUUAGAUUUAAUUACUAUUGAGAGAAGCUUUUAAAUAAAAUCAUAACAUUGACCAAUAAACAUGAUUUCAAAUUAUCAAUUUAAAUCGUUGAACUAAAAAAAAUGAAUUAACAAAGGGGAUUCUACAUCUUAGCAAUACAUCCCACAAAUUUGAUAACUUUUAUUUUGCUUUCAAUUUAGCUAUAAAAUUAGACAUUGAUUUUACUACAACUAUAAUUUGUUAUUCAAUCAAGGGUACUAAUAGAUAUAACUCAAUCAAACACGUAGUCCUCAUGGAUUCGACACUUAAUUCACCAUUAUAUUACUUGCUCAUGAUUCCGUCCACUUGUGGAAAAUCAAACGACCAAAUUUUUUAUCUUGUUGGCAAAGACUAUUGUUUUUUAUAAGUUUUAGGUAAUUUUAACCUUAAUUUGAAUUUGAAUUUUAUUUUUUCUUUUUUAGUUUAGUUUAUUAUAUUAGAAAAAAUUUACAGUAUUUAUUGUUUUCUUUUCAAGGACUUAUAUGCGAAGUCCAAGACUAGGGACCAUGCUCAAUUUGACUCGGAGAUUGAACGGAUAUUCAACUUUCGAAAAAGACAACAGUUGAAAACAUACCAAAAAUAGAAAGGUGAAUACAUGGCAAAUGAAAAUCCAAAUCAAAUAGCCAUCAGGGCUAAUCUAGUAGUAGCACAACCGAAUAUAGUUUCAGCGAAUGAAAAUGCAAAGCUCAUGGGAGAGUAUAUGUUUCCACCGAUUGUGAAAAGCCAAUCCUAUAUUGUUUAUCCGAUGUUUGGUCAAGCAAACUUCCUCCUAAGAACAGAUAUUAUCAACAUGUUCCAAAAUGUGCUACAAUUCUUUAGAAUAAUUCCAACGCUCAUAUAUCAAGAUUUUUGGACAUAUGUGCAACAAUUGAGUAUCCGGGAUUUUCAAGGGAAGCAAUCAGACUAAGGCUAUUCUCAUACACAUUGAGGGACUUAGCAAGGGAAUGAUUAGACACUUAUCUACCACAGAGUAUCACAACAUGAAACCAAUUCAGUAAAAAAUUUCUUAGCAAAUAUUUUUCAUCGAAAAGGAUUACAACGCUAAGGGACGAGAUCACUAUUUUUCAGCAAAUGGACUAAGAAGAAGGCCAAAGGAGAAUGUUUUAAGGGUGGAAAACCUGGACACUAUGCAAAGGAGUGUAGAUACUGAAAACAAAACAACUUCAAAGGUAAGGUGAAUUCCUUCCUAGAAGAUAAAAUUGUGAUUACCGUAAGUGAAAUAAACAAAAUCAAAGGAAAGAUUCCCAGUUUGUGAUAUGAUACUUGUGCUACUAUACAUAUAUCACAUGUCAAAUCUUUGUUCAAAACAUACCAUGAAGUGAAUGAAGACCAAGAGAUUUAGAUGGGUAACAAGGUUCGAUCUAAAGUGAUUGGAAAGGGAAAUGUGGACAUCAUCUUCACUUCCAAAAAAAUCGUUACUUAAACAAAUGUACUACGCAUUCCUUAUAUGAAUUUGGAACUUGGUAAAUGGAAAUCUCUUAGGAAAAUCGGGCAUUAAAAUUGUCUUUGAAUCUGGUAAACUUGUAUUAUCUCUUAGCGAAAAACUUGUUGGAAAAUGCUAUGCUAGUGAAGGAAUGACCAAAUUGUAUACUAUUAACAAGUUUAAUGAUAAUAGAACUAAUUUUGCAUAUAUUAUUGAUUUAUUUUUUUAUGGCGUGCUAGAUUAUGUCAUAUAGGUAAAAGCACUAUGAAACGUAUGAGGAUAUGUGACUUGAUUUCAUAUGAUAAAAAUAAUGUACCUAAAUUUCAAACACGCGUAGAAUCGAAAAUGGUUAAAAAGCCUUAUCAAAGUGUAAAUUAAACAUAUGAUGAAAUGUGACUUGAUUUCAUAUCUGUGAAUUAAAUGGUAUGUUGACUAGAGGUAGAAAUAGGUACUUCAUUACAUUUAUCGAUGAUCACUCAAGCUAUACAUAUGUUUACUUGAUGAAGCAUAAACAUAAGGAUUUUGUUAAGGUAUAUAAGAAUGAAGUUAAAAAUCAUAUAGGAAAGAAAACAAAGAUAUUAAGAAGUGAUAGAGGUUGUGAGUAUUUUUCUAGUGACUUUAACUUGUUUUGUGAACAACAUGACAUAAUUCACCAAUAUUUUGCACUUUAGACACCCGAACAAAAUGAUUUAGCUGAAAAGAAAAAUAGAACCUUAGUUGAAAUGAUCAAUGCCAUGCUUAUCUAUGUUAAGUUCCCAUUUAACUUGUAGGAUGAAGCCUUGUUGAGUGCAUGUAAGAUACUUAAUAGGAAUCCUUCAAAACAUGCAAAUGUUUCUCCUUAUGAAUUGUGGAAAGGAAGAAAAUCGAACAUUAAAUACUUUAAAGUAUGAUGGUGUCUUGCUUACUGCAAAAACACGAAUCCUAAUAGGACUAAAUUAAGUCCUAGAGACAUAAAAUAUGCUCUUGUUGGAUAUGCUAGCAAUAGCAAAUCUUAUAGGCUGUUGAAUUUGGAGACCGAUGUGAUUAUUGAAUCCAAUGAUAUUAAGUCCUUCGAGAAUUCGUUAUCUUCGAAUAAUGAAUUGAGGGAAAAUCCUAAAGAUAUCCCUAGCUCAAGUAGAACACAAGACAAGACAUCUUCGAAAGAUGUUGGUAAGACUAGUGAGCUACGAAGAAGCAAGAGAACUCGAGUUGAGAAGUUUUUAGGACCGAAUGAAAUUGAUUCUCAACUUAUCUCCUUUUACUUAGUAGAAGGUGUUAGAUUUCGUGUUGGCUAUUCUGUGAACAAAAGGGUAAAAUUGUGGAUGUUCAAAAGUUUGGGAUCAAUUUGUCAAUAGUUAAAGGUUAUGGGUUAUUGUGUACAUGUGUAAAGGAUGAGGGACUCAGUUGCAAUUUUGACAAAGUGUGCUAGGGUUCGAGCCAUGAAGGAGGUCAAGAUGUGUCAUUGAAGUUUUGCUAGUUUCUUGCCAAGUGGUCGUUCGAGCAACAAAAAUAGAAAAGUCGUUAGCUUUUUGUUCGAGUGAUAGGGUUACCCAUAAAACUCUAUUUUUCUUUUUUCGACAUUUUAACCCGACCAAAAGAUACAAAUACACUGCAUAUAAGAAAAAUUGCGCCGAAAUUCAGUUGUGCUCUUAAGGGAUUUAAAUUGAAGAAAACUCUCUACACUUUGAUCCUCUUAUUCAACCCCAUAUUUGAUUUGAGCAAUUAAAUAAAAAAUAUCAAAUCAACAUUCACCAAACACCACAACACAACCUUCUAGAGCCUUUUUUGAUUCUUGGAGAUCGAGGAAGGAGAUCGGAGUCCCGAUCAUUAGAGAAUUGGCGGUUCUCUUGAAUCCACGAGAGAUAGACAAAAUCAAGAGCCUAGAAUUGGUGUAGCACGCAAUCUAGGAGGGCUAGGUGUCGGGAAUUGGUGCAGAAUCACGUAUUCCAGGAAGGCUUUGAGGAAACUAUGGUCAGGAUGUCAGAAAAAUCAGUGUAAGUUGAGUCUAGCUGAUUGUAAGUUUCAUUUUCGUUUAUAGUAGAUUCCUACUGGCUUGGGCCCGGAGUUUUACCCACAUUAGGGUUUCUCCGUCAUCAAAAAAUUAUGUUAUUUAUCUUUCUGCAAUUAAUUUAAGAUCGGUAUUCAAAUAUAGGAUAGUAAAAUAUGUGAACUGAUCUGGACAAAUUAAUAUUUGUGAUGUGUUGCAAUUAUUAAUUGAUUGAAAAAGAAAAUUUCUCAUAAACACCUAUUCACCCCCCUCUAGGUGUUGAUUGGGUCGAACUACAAUAUUUCAAGUGGUAUCAGUGCCAAAUCUUGAGUUCUAACCUAUAGUUGUCUAGAUAAGUCAAUCACUGUCUGUGCCUUCGUAUUUUGACGGAAGCAACUAUGCCUAUUGGAAGGUUAGAAUGCUUGCGUUUCUUAAGUCCCUAGAUGAACGUGUCUGGGUGAGUGUACAAAAUGGUCGGAAACCUCCUUCCACAACUGUGUCAGGUGUUGUAACCCCAACUGACAUUUCCCUUUGGACAAAGGAUGAAUUGGCUGAAUGCAAUUGGAAUAGUAAAGGUCUCCAUGCAUUAUUCAUGUAUGUAUCUCCUGAAGAGUUUAGAAGAGUGUCAAUGUGCGACACUGCUAAAGAAGUAUGAGACAUUCUUGAGACAACGCAUGAAGGAACUAAAACUAUGAAAAAUUCUAAGUUGCAAAUGCUAGCCUCAAGGUUUGAAGAAAUCGAGAUGAAAGACGAUGAAUCUUUUGAUGAGUUCUAUGCCAAAUUGAAUGACAUUGUUAACUUUAGCUUCAACCUAGGUGAGAGGAUUCCCGAGUCCAAAAUUGUGAGGAAAGUUCUUAGAUCCUUAUCUGAGAGAUUUAGACCUGAAGUUACAGCUAUUGAAGAAAGCAAGAAUCUGGAUACAAUUAAGAUAGAAGAACUCGAAGGAUCCCUUCAAACCUAUGAACUCACCAUUUCACAACUAAGGAAAAACAAGUCCAUAGCCUUGAACACUGUUAAGGAAGGAGAGUCUGAGUCAUCUGACGUGGAAACUCUUAGAGAUGAAGAGAUUGCCUACUUUGUGAAAAAAUUUCAGGAAGUCUUAAAGGGCAAAAAAUGGCCUCAAGAGGAAAGGAGGGGAGCCCCUAGUAAAUUGCAAAGAGAAAAGGAUGAUAAAUCAACUGCUAGGAACCCUGGUAAGAAAUCUCAAGUGGUUAGGUGUUAUGAGUGUCAGGGAUUUAGGCACUAUAGAAAUGAAUGUCCUAGUUUUAAGAAAAAUCUAAAGAAGGGGAGUAACAAGGCAUUAGCUCUGUCUUUGACUAAUGAUGAUUCUAAUUUCAGUGAACAAAGUGAUUCCUUAAGCAGUGAGGAAAAAAAGGGCUAUAUGACUUUUGUAUCUACUGUCAAAAGUGAGUCAGACAAGGAGAGUGAAAAGGUUGAAGAGGAAGUGGAGAGUAACAAGUUCGGUGAUGAUUCAGAGGAUGAGACGGAUAUACAUGAGGCUUAUCAACUUUUGUUUAAGGAAAGUCUCAAGAUCAAAAAGGUAAAUAAAACUUUAUUUAAGAAGGUAGACGAGCUUGAGAGAGAGAAGGAGAAAAUCACCUAUGAUCUACAAGUCUCAUCUAAGAAUCUCAGUGAGUUGAAGUGUGUCAAUGAGAAAUUAGAGGACAGAGUCAAGACAUAUGACUUUUGAAUUAGAGAAAUCCAGCACUCAACUACAGUCAUUUGUGAGUGGAACUAAGAAACUAGACGAUCUGUUAGGCAUGAACAAACCAGCUGGAAAUAGGCAAGGUCUGGGAUUUGUGAAGAGUGAUAGCAAUGUGUCCAGUUUAUCCAAGACCACAUUUGUCCCUGCUUCCAACAGAUCUAAUGUUUCAACAAAUCCAGAAUCCAAAGACAAAAAUUUCACUGGACUGAAGGCCACUAGAGCUCAUAAGAUGUCUACACCUAAUUUUCAUGAUCAACACUCACGUGCAUCUGAACCUAGGUUCAUACCCACUUGCAUCACUGUGGUGCCUUAGGCCACAUGAGACCUAGGUGUCAAAAGCUAGCAAAUAGGAAUCGAAGUCAGGAUAUCCCUAUUCAAGUAAACUUUCUUUCAAAUCAGGUUAGCCACUUAACUGAGAUGGUAACGAGGUUGACUAGGAUCACCUCAAACUCGAGAAAAGUUAGGGUAAAGAAAUCUGAUGUGGGUGAGUAUACUAAGAAUCUAAAAUGUUUUGUUGCUCAUGUUGCAUAUAAGGCUCAAAAUACAUGCAUGUGGUAUCUUGAUAGUGCUUGUUCUAGACACAUGUGUGGAAACAACGCCUUAUUCUCUACUUUUGAUGACUGCAAUGGCGGUGUAGUUACUUUUGGGGACGGAGCUACUGCACCCAUCCGAGGUAAAGGCUCCAUCACCAUUGUUGGACUUCCUACAAUAUCCAAUGUACUUUAUGUAGAGGGUCUUACAACUAACUUAUUGAGCAUUAAUCAAAUCUGUGAUGCUGAAUAUUAAGUGAGUUUUGUCCAAAAGAGAUGCACUAAUUAUGACGCUUUUAGUGGUGUUGUUCUUAAAAGUGUUAGAACAUCUGAUAACUAUUAUGGAUUCUUCCAAACUCGAACUAUGUAUGCAGUAGUGCUAAAAUUGAUAUGUCUGAACUUUGGCAUCAAAGGCUUGGUCAUGUUUACUACAGAAGUCUGUCUAAAUUGGUCAAAAAGAAGAUUGUCGAUGGUUUACCUAAGAUUGAUCAAAGUGAGAAUGCUGUGUGCAAGCCGUGUCAACAAGGAAAGCGACUCAGGAUGAACCAUAAGUGAACCUCGAAAAUCUUGACGAAUAGAUACUUAGAGCUUCUCCACAUGGAUUUAAUGAGAUCAUCUAGGGUAGAGAGCCUAGGAGGCAAACGGUAUAUUCUGGUUGUGGUAGUUGACUUUUCUAGAUACACUUGGAUUGAACUGUUAAGAGAAAAAUCUGAGACGGGUGAUCUGGUUAAAUCCUUGUGUAAAAGACUCAAAGUUGAACAAAAUCUUCCUAUUUCUAGGGUUCGAAGUGAUCAUGGGAAAGAAUUUGAAAACUUCAAUCUAGAAAACUUCUGUUUGGAGGAGAGGAUUAAGCAUAAGUUCUCUUCACCAAUCACUCCACAGCAAAAUAGAGUUGUUGAGAGGAAGAAUAGAGUGCUUCAAGAAAUGGUUGGGGCCAUACUUCACGGCAAGGAUCUAGCAAUGCAUUUCUGGGGUAAAACUAUUAACACCACGUGCCACAUAGUAAAUAGGGUAUACUUGAGACCGAAAUCAAACAAGACUCCCUAUAAGAUCUAGAAAGGCAAGAAGCCUACUGUUAAAUAUUUUCGGGUGUUUGGCAGUAAGUGUUACAUUCUGAGGGAUAGAGAAAAUCUAGGCUAGUUUGAUUCCAAAAGUGAUGGUGGGAUUUUUCUAGGAUAUUCUACGAACAAUAGAGCCUACAGAGUUUAUAACUUGCAUACUCAGAAUGUCUUGGAAUUUGUAAAUGUUGUUAUUGAUGAUGCCUUUACUGAGGGGGAGAGUGCUAAAAAUAGGGUUGAGAUAGAAGAUCUAAGUGAAGAUCAAAAACCCAUUGCUGAAAAUAAAGAGCAGUCAAUUCCAAAAUCUCCACGCUCCUCAAAAAACAUAUCUGAACAGGGUCUACCCAAUUGGGAUCAGUCUAAGCUUCCUAUAGAACCAUCUUCCAGGGUCAAAUCUAAUCAUCCUAAGGUUAACAUCAUUGGGGAUUUAGAUGAAGGUAUGAGGUUACAAAAGAGAGUUCUAAAUAACCUAACAUAUACUAGUUAUAUAUCCCAGAUUGAACCUAAGAAAGCAGAGAAAGCCCUUAGAGAUGAAUGACAUGCAUGAGGAGCUUAAUCAAUUCGUUCGAAAUAAUGUUUGGAAUCUAGUUCAUAGGCCUGAUGACUAUAAUGUGAUAGGUACUAAGUGGAUCUUCAAGAACAAAAUCGAUGACCAAGGUACUAUAACUAGAAAUAAGGCUAAACUAGUUGCCCAGGGGUACACUCAAGUGGAAGGGGUAGAUUUUGAUGAGACUUUUACCCCAUUUACUCGUCUUGAGUCCAUUCAUAUUCUUUUUGCGGUUGCAUGUACCUUAGGGUUCAAGUUAUAUCAAAUGGAUGUUAAUAGUGAAUUCUUAAAUGGAAUACUUCAAGAAGAGGCGUAUGUUGAACAGCCGAAAUGAUUCAUUGACCCUAAGUUUCCUCAUUAUGUCUACAAACUCAAUAAAAGCACUGUAUGGUCUGAAACAAGCUCCUAGAGCUUGGUAUGACAGACUCACCACUUACCACAUUGAGCAUGGGUUCUCAUGAGGUGAUGUUGACAGAACCUUAUUCAUUAGACAUAUUGAAUAAAUUAUCACUGUAGCUCAGAUUUAUGUCAAUGACAUCAUCUUUGGCUCUCUCAUUGACUCCCUUGCUCUUGAAUUUGCUGAAUGCAUGAAACAAGAAUCUGAAAUGAGCAUGGUUAGAGAGCUAAGUUACUUCCUUGGUUUUCAAGUAAAGCAAACUGAUUGUGGGUUGUUUAUCUCUCAAUCAAAAUAUGCCAAAGACCUUGUGAAGAGAUUUGGCUUGGACAGUAAGAAACACACAAGGACACCCAUGAGCACAAAUGUUAAGUUAGGACAUGAUCCUACAGUUAAGAGUGUUGAUCAGACUGUGUAUAGGAGCAUGAUAGGCAGUCUACUAUAUCUUACAGCCAGUAGACCUGACAUAGCGCUCAGUGUUGGAGUAUGUGCUAGAUUUCAAGCUGAUCCUAAGGAGUCCUAUCUAGGUACAGUGAGGUGCAUUAUUAGAUAUGUCAAUAGGACAGUAGAUCAUGGGAUCUUGUAUUACAGAGAGUCCAACCUAGAACUAGCCGGUUAUUCUGAUGCCAAUUGGGCCAGAAAUGCCGAUGAUAGAAAAAGUACCUGGGGUGGAUGUUUCUAUGUUGGUUCUAAUCUUGUCUCAUGGAUGAGUAAGAAACAAAACUCAGUUUCCUUGUCCACAGCCGAGGCAAAAUACAUUAUAGUUGGUAGUUGUUGCACUCAACUGCUUUGGAUGAAGUAAAUGCUGAGUGACUAUGGGAUAAAUCAGGGUACUAUAACUGUUUUCUGUGAUAAUACUAGUGCUAUCAACAUAUCAAAAAAUCAUGUUCAGCAUUCUAGGACCAAAUACAUUGACAUUCAUCAUCACUUUAUUCGAAAGCUAGUUGAGUCUAAUGUGAUAUCUCUUGAACACAUCUCUACUGAAAAUCAACUUGCCGAUCUGUUCACUAAACCUCUAGAUGGGUUUAGAUUCGAGUCACUUAGAAAGGUUGUUGGCAUUUGUGUUCCUCCCUGAUCGUCUUCAUAGAUACAUGCAUUCUUUUCUGCAUUCAUUACAUUGCCUAUUUGUGUUAAUUUGCAUCUGUCUUUCACUUUGUUUUAAAAAUAAUAAUAAUAAUAAUAAUAAUAAUAAUAAUAAUAAUAAUAAUAAUAAUAAUAAAAUAAAUAUUAAAAAAUAAAAAUAAAAUAAAAAUGGGGGAUUGAUCAUUACGUGUCAUUUUUGCAUUGUAGUUGUUUACUCGGAGUUGUAAUUUGAAAUCAAAUGUGCAUUCUACACAUGAUUAGUUUCUAAUUUCCAUCACUUAUCUUGAGUCUGUAUGGAGUACUUAGUAUAUGUCACUUCAUAUUAUGGGAUUGAACGUAAGAUUAAAAUAAAUAGACGUCCUUAAUGACAGGGGGAGAAAGAACAGUUUUACACCAUAUUUUAACGAAGUAUAGGUCCUAGUGGCAUUGGAUUUGACCUUCAAACGUCUAAGUGUUGACUCCUACGUCAGUGAUUUGGCCGUCUCUUCUCACAAAUUUAAGGUUUUGAGUCUUACUUGCUUGGAAUGAGUGGAACGUUUCACGAGGGGUCACAUAUACAAUUUACUCCAUCUGUCCUUGGUCCCGGUGUAUGGGGAAACAUUUUCUAAUCACUGUGCAUGCCGUAUUUGUGAUCUAUUGCCUUUGAUUGGACCAACUGCCUCUGCAUUGUUCGUGUAUUUUAAAAAAUUUUGGGGUCAAAAUUCAAAUUUCUGAAAAAGGUGCUAUUUUUGAAAAUUUCUGAAGUGCAGUUACUUUGCAAAAGUUUUAAACCUGGGCCUAACUUUUCACAUUUUCAAGUUUAAGUGCUAUUUUUGAUAUUUUCCCUUCGCUCGCUUGACGUUGGAAGCUCGCUCGUGGGACAAAAUCAGAGUCUUGUCGCUCGAUGUUUGCUCGAGCCUCGCUCGAGCAACAGCGAGACUUUUAAUUUUCUCGCAAAGCGUUCCAGGUCAUUUUUUUCAUUUUUUCACAUCUCUCUCUCGCAUUUUCUUUCACGAAGAGCCUUUUCGAUCGAUUUGCACUUCAUUUCGUGCGUGUAGGGCCUCAAUUCCUUAUCCUUGUGUGCAUUCCUUGGUGUUUCCUUGUUCCCAAUUGGUAAGUGCAUUCCUAAACCCACUCGUUUGUUUGUUCUUGUUUUUUUUCUUCUUCGCCAUUUGGAAACUUUGAGAUUGGGUGGUUCUUGAAUGCUGGAUCGAUGGUGUUGUUACGGUAUGUUGGGUGUCCAUUACGUUAUUGCAUUUGUAGGUUAUCUUCCUUGUGUUUCAAAUGCUUGCAAGGUGUUUGAUGAAAUGUCUCAUCUCCACAACCUUACUUCCCUUGCCCAUUGUGUGCCAUUCCUCGUGUAUGAUUGGUGUCUUAGGUACACAAUAUGUGAAUUAAUUAUUUCUUUGAUCUUAUUUCCAAUAACGUGACAAACACACUUCCCCGAUUAAGUCAUCAAACUUUACAACAAUCACCUAACAAGUCGGUGCUUAAACCUGACAGAUUGUGCAUGUACCAAGUUUAGAGGGUGUGUAUGCAAUGGGAAUCAUCAAUUAUCAAUAGAAAUUGGAAAUUAUUUAUGUGUGUCAAAAUCUCAUAUUGAUCUUGUUCACGUCUAGUUCACGUCACUUACGUGUUGGUCAUUGUCCUUAGGCUUGUGUGUGAUUGAACUUUAGGGCUUGUGCAGUCAUAUGUCUCCAUAAAUUCGUUUUCCUUGAGGAUUGAUUUAUCUUCUACAUCUCGCAUUGUAGAUGGCACCUAAGAGGGCUAGGACUACAGCUCAGCCUGGUAGUGGAUCGACUUCGUUUAGUCGUUCUAGGUUCAUUUCCUCUACUGCUCAAGAGGUAUUUGGGAGCCAGUUUUCCCGUCAUCCUGUCCUAAUAGAGCGUGACGUCACUCUAUCCGACCUAUCCCUUGAUGUAGCAGCUAUCUUUACUUCUCGAGGUUGGGAAUCCUUGUUGAUUGGGUUAAAUCUCCCGCCUAGUCUUCUUGUUCAGGAGUUCUAUGUGAACAUCCAUGACAUUAGUGGUUCGUCCUUCCGGGUGUUCCUUCGGGGUCAAACCCUUAGGAUUUCUCCAGAUGUUAUUUGCAGUUCCAUACAUGUUCCCCGGGUCAUUCACCCCGUUUACCCAUAUCUCUCGACUGAUUCUAUUCUGGCCGACUCUCUGGUUCGGUCCACUCUGUUUAAUAGCCCUUUCGAAGGUGGGCCUGAGGCGAUCCGCAUUAGUUCGCUCCCCAUUGAUCGACAGAUUUUGUUGCGCAUUGUGUGUACAAAUCUGUGGCCUGUCUCUCACACUUCUUCCCUAUCUAUGGAAAAGGCGAGAUUUCUUUUUGCUUUGCUGCAUGGGGAUUCGAUUGACCUACCUACCUUCAUUUGCCAGCACAUUCUGUGUACCUUUCGCACUUCCAGUCAUAGGAUUGGUCUUCUUUAUGCUUGCUUGAUCUACCGCUUGGGGCUUCAUUUUCCGAUGCGGUCUCACGACGAGUACUUCAUCCCAUAGGGCACACUACCAUCUCUCAAAGUAGGUCACGUCACUUCCUCUGCUUCUGCAUCUGCUCUUGCUAAGCCAGCUGAGCUAUCGACCCAACAGUGCCCUCUGAUCCUUUGGGUGAUUUACUUGUUGAUCUCUCGGCUAUUCCUCCGUCCACUUCCGAUAUUCCUUCUUCUUCCACUUCUAUUCCACCACCUGCCCAGCCUACUCUGACUACUAUUCCUGUUGACCCCACUAUCGUACUUAUGGGUCAGAUGUCGAUUCUCAUUGAGUAGCAGGCCCGCAUGAUGGUUGACAUUACUCAGUUACGAGCUGCUUUAGAGCGUCAUACUGCGGAGUUUGCUACAUUGCGAGGGGCUAUUGCUCUUGUUCAGCGCGAUAUUCGAUGGAUGCACGAGCACUGGGAUUAUAAGUCUGAGGCUGAGGAUUCUGUGGACGUGGAUGGAGGAGAUGAUGAUCCUGCUUAGUUGCUUGGGGUUCUCCUUGCCAUUUGUGACAAAAAGGGGGAGUGGGUGCUAAUUUUUGGGAUUUGUAAUGAUAAAGUACUUUGAUAAUGUACUAUUGAUAUUUUUGGCUAGAUUAUGUGUUGAUGCUUUGGACUAUUGAUGCAUGUUUUUGGUGGUAUGACUUACAUUGAUAUUGUCUCUUAAUCUAGCAUAUUGGUACAAUUUUAUGGCUAUUCAUGACUCUUUAUCUUUUAUGUUUACUAUAUCACUGUUCCUCGUGCUUUUACACUGGGUAUGUGAGUUGUGAUUUCAGGAAAUAGGUUGAAAGAUGACAAGGCAACAGUGAGUUGAGUCAAUGUAUUGGACUGUCAUUAUAGUUCAUGCUACUGUAAUUUGGUUUUGUUACAGAAUGUCAAAGGGAGAGUUUGUUAGAUUUUGUGUUGGCUAUUCUGUGAACAAAAGGGUAAAAUUGUAAAUGUUCAAUAGUUUGGGGUCAAUUUGUCAAUAGUUAAAGGUUAGGGGUCAUUGUGUACAUGUGUAAAAGAUGAGGGACUCAGUUGUAAUUUUGACAAAGUGUGCUAGGGUUCAAGCUAUGAAGUAGGGCAAGAUGUGUCGUUGAAGUUUCGCUAGCUGCUCACCAAGUGGUCGCUCGAGCAACAAAAACAGAAAGGUCGUCGCUGGUUUCUCGCCCCCACUUCGCUCGAGGGAAACAAUGUCGCUCGCUUUUCACUUGAGCGACAGUGUAACCCAUAAAACCCUAUUUUUCUUUUUUCGACAUUUUAACCUGACCAAAAGAUCCAAAUACAUUGCAUAUAAGAAAAAUUGCGCCGAUUUUCAGUUGUGCUCUAAAGGGAUUGAAAUUGAAUAAAACUCACUACACUUUGAUCCUCUUAUUCAACCCCAUAUUUGAUUUGAGCAAUUACAUUAAAAAUAUCAAAUCAACAUUCACCAAACACCACAACACAACCUUCUAGAGCCUUUGUUGAUUCUUGGAGAUCGAGGAAGGAGAUCGGAGUCCCGAUCAUUAGAGAACAGGCGGUUCUCUUGAAUCUACAGGAGAUAGACAAAAUCAAGAGCCGAGAAUUGGUAUAGCAUGCAAUCCAGGAGGGCUAGGUACCGGGAGUUGGUGCAGAAUCACGCAUUCCAGAAAGGCUUUGAGGAAACUAUGGUCAGGAUGUCAGAAAAGCCAGUGUAGAUUGAGUCUGAUUGAUUGUAAGUUUCAUUUUCGUUUAUAGUGGAUUCGUACUGGCUUGGGCCCGGAGUUUUACCCACAUUGGGGCUUCUUCGUCAUCAAACAAUUGUGUUAUUUAUCUUUCUGCAAUUAAUUUAAGACCGGUAUUCAAACAUAGGAUAGUAAAGCAUGUGAGCUGAUCUAGACAAAUUAAUAUUUGUGACGUGUUGCAAUUACUAAUUGAUUGAAAAAGAAAAUUCCGCAUAAACACCUAUUUACCCCCCCUAGGUAUUGAUUGGGCCCAAAAAAAAGUUCGAAUAUUUUACUCGAGCCAAGCUCGAGCCUAAAAUUUUGGCUCACGAGCCGGCUCGGCUUGGCUCUUCGACUCGUUGACAUCCCUAUGUUGAUGACAUGUUGAUUAUGAGUAAUCACAUAUGUGGAAUAUACGAAACAAAGAUGUUUCUAUCUUCCACAUUCAAGAUAAAGGAUCUUGGACAAGUAAAUACCAUUUUGGAUGUUAGAGUCACAAAGACUAGUGGGUUAUCAUCCAAGUCAAUUACAUUAUAUCGAGAUUGUAAUAAACAAGUUCAAAACGUAAAGGAGUAUAGUACUCGAUUGAUCCAAGUUCAAAGAUUUUAAAGAAUGAUGGAAGGGCAAUUGCUUAAUUGGAAUAUAUAAGUGCUAUUAGUAGUCUUAUGCAUACAGUUCAAUGCACAGGACCAAACAUAGCAUAUACAAUAAGUAAACUUAGUUGAUCUACUAGCAAUCCGAACAAUGAUCAUUGGAAGGCCAUUGGGAGAGUUAUUGGAUUCUUAAAGAAAACCAAAAACUCAAGCCUACAAUAUGCCAAAUUCCCGACUGUAUUGGAAGGAUUUAUCGAUGUUAGUUGGAUAUCUAACACGAGUAAAAGUAAAUCUACUUCAUGUUAUGUGUUCACUCUGGGAGGCAGUGCUGUUUCUUGGAAAUCAAAGAAACGGACAUUUAUAACACACUCGACAAUGGAAUCCAAAUUUGUAGCACUAUCGAAAACUAGGAAAGAGGCUGAGUAACUUAAAGAUCUAUGAGAUACCUUUGGUAUUAAAGAACAUUUCCUCAAUACCUAUCAUGUGCGAUAGUCAAGCCACGUUAACAAAAACAUACAAUGAGGUAUGCAACGAAAAAUCUAGACGUAUGAGUCUUAGAUGUAACUACAUAAGAAAACUAAUCAAUGAUGGAAUAAUUUCUCUAAAUUGUGUAAGAUCAAUUGAGAAUUUAGCAGAUCCUUUGACUAUACCUCUAAAUAAAGAUUUAGUAGCGUCUACUUCAAGUAGGAUGAAGUUAAAACUCCUAACUCGAAAAGGUCCAACAACAACCCUACCUAUCAUUACACUAAAGGUAAUCUACGAAUUCAAAGGGUAACAACAAAUUAUUCGAUAUGUGGAUAGUCUCAGCAUUAUACAAAUCCGCGAUAACACUAUCCUAAUUAAAUAAUGCUAAUUGUUACUGAAAUGAGGGUUGAGAUUAAAGCUCUUAAUAAAGUUUAUUGUUAAAAUACAAGUAUCUUUAAAAAUAACAAAGAAAUUGGAAGAACUUCACAUAAAUGAACUUCGACGUAGUACUGUCUCAAUAGAGAGUUGAAGUUUCUCUCUUAAAGAUUUGUUUAAAAAGGAUGAGUGCAAGGCUAUAAAGCACUAAACUAGUUUUGAGGAACUUGAGAAUAUGUGAUACUUGUAUAUGUGUUCUUACCAGUAUUAUCACAUGGAAUAAGUGUUUCAAAGUUUCGUGCUAACUUUUGAUUCUGACUUUACGUUGUUUGAGUUGCACUAUGGUUAGAUUCAAAUCAAAAUAUAUCUAAUCCUUAUGCAUGAUUAUUGUUUAAUUUUGAAUAUGAGACUUUAUUGUAUUUUGAACAAGUAGGGAAUUGUUGAGAAUUGUUGUUCAAAACAAUAAAGUGCAGUAUGUGGAAAGAUGAAGAAAUAGGAAAUGGAAACCAAAACUUAUACCCAUGCAACCGCAUGAAAGAAAUGCCCAUGCGGUCGCAUGGGCAUGUGCAGAAAAUUGGAGGCCCAUUCGAAGGUACUUUAUGCAAUUACAUAGAGAAAAAAUAUUGAUCGUUAGAGGCCAUUUUUAACGUCGUUACUUUGAUUUUGGUGGCGUUUCUUGCACUUUUGGCACCAUUUUGUGCAUAUGGACAAAGUCUAUAAUAGUAGAGCCAUGAUUGAAGGAAAUAUACAUUGAAAACUCUUGAAAUCAAUAUUCAUUCCUCAAUCAAGAUCAAACCUUGAUUCUUCAUAUUCGAACAUCCUCCUUUGUGUUCUUCAAGUUUUGAUAGGAAUACUUUGUGCUUUGGCAUUCUUGCAACAAGACUUGAUUAAUCCUUCAAACUGUUUGCCAAAAAACCCUUAAGCAUCUCGUACAAUUGGAAGAGUGGGCAAAUAUCGUUUGAAGACAACGAUAUUUUGUUCGGGCCUUCAAAUUUGUUCUUAGCAAGUUUCAAGUUUUCUUCAUCUUGUUGCUAGUUUUUUCUUUUGAUUUUAUCUUUGUUUCAUCUCCUUCCCUCCAUUUCCAACAUGGUAGCUACUGUUUUGUUUUGUUCAGUUAUGUACUUUUCUUUGUCAUUUUACAAUAUAUCUAAAAGAAAUAAACUUUCAUACUUGUAGCGGACAUUCUCUAUGACGGUAAUGGUUUGGAAGUGCUUUCUCCUUUAUGUCGACACUUAUUUCUAGAAAUGGCUGGUCUCAAGAACUCUGCCAAGGUUAAUUGCAUUUUGCAUAUGAUGAUUCAAGCUUUUAGUUGAUAUUUUAUUCAAGUGACAAUAUUUGAGAUGUGAGGAGAAAAAACUCAUUGUUUGGCAGGGAAUGGCAGUUGUUGCAGCAAGGGCAACAAGAUUGCCUAUAAAAGAUGACAGCCCCUACCUAUAGGGGCACGCCACGUCCAGAGCUCAUGUGGCCCUAAAUGUCAAGCAGGGCUCAUUAUUUAUUUGGCAAAGACCUUUUUGCAAAAGGCGGAGCCAUCUCAACACUCUUUAAUGCUGUUGGAAUAGGUGUAGGAAUUCAAUUAGCUUCUACUAUUUGCUCAACUAUGGAGGGAAAUGUAACAUAACUCUUCACUGCUAUCUAUAUGCAAUUUUGGACUUUUAGCAUUGGGCUUUUCUAACUUCAUAUUUUACUUUUAAAUGAAUGAAUCCGCUACAUGGUUUUAUUUUGUAAUCAUUUAAAAGAAGUGCAGGUUAAUGUGUCAUAGGUACUUUGACGAAUCGUAAUCACUCUUGAUAUAGCCCCCUUAAAUUUGUACGUAGAUUGGGUUGGCUUAUUAGGGAUUCAGUGCUUGCUAGACUACUUGGUUCAAAAACUCUAAUUUCUGAAUAGAAAGAAACUGGUCAAUAGUAAAUUUGUCAUGAUCAAUUCAAAACCAUUUGAUUGCUUAAAUCUGUUUCAUAUAUGGACCUUUUGCACAACUUCUUCCUCCUACACCACCAUAGAGCUUUUCAUGUAUAAACGGUGAGUUACAGAAUGAGGAAGUUUUAUAGAGCAGUAUAGAGUGUUAGUAAGAUGCUAAGGCUUCUAAAGAUUGCUUGCAUAUCUAAUGGAUUGAAAAUAUUAGUUGCUAGGCUUAUGCUUGCACUAGAACCAUGUGUCUCUGAUGGUAAAAUAUAUACAGAGAUGCGAGCUAUUUUGGGGACGUUUGUUUCAUAUUUUUAUAAGAAUGAAAAUGAAAAAUAUAGCUGUUAUGGGUCCUACACAAAAUAUAAAAAUUCAAAUUUGGUGACUUAAUAUGAUGGAUAAUGAUCAUAUUUUUCAUUUUAAUGGAGAAUGAAUAGAAAACAAACAGGGGCUAAAUCAACAGAGAAUCACAGUGAUCGUAGCAAAUUUUGUGAAGGUCUCUUACUAAGCCCCUAUUUGGUUUGGAUAAAAAUAAAAUUUUAGUAGAUUUUGAUAAAAGUUGUAGGUCCAAUGAAAUUUGUGGUUGAAAAUGAGUUUUAAGAAAUAUGGGCUAAAAGGGGCUAAAUAUGGUUGCUUGAGAUACUUGAGAUAUUUAAAAUUCAAGCAACUUAUAUUUUGGCCAACAUUGAAAUAGACGGGUAAAAUAUCCAGUUCUGUGUAUCUAAGAUAUGGAAAAGAUCUGGUAUUUCCCGGACGACUGAUUGAGGAAGCCGGAAAUGUUUAUGGUGGGAAGGGCUUUACACAAGGUUGUCAAGCCUUUGGAGCUUCACCGGAUAAAAAAAAAACACUUCCCCAAGAGAAAUUUAAUUUACAUCUUGGAAGUCGAUGGACGGAUAUGAUAUUGGAGCACAACACAACUGAAGAUGCAUUGAGAGGAUUGCUAACGUUGCAUAUGCUACAGAUAUACAGAAGUCUUUUAAUGCGUCUAGUGAGAUCGUAUUGCAAAAUGGGUAUGAGAGGAUGAAUAACGUGUUUUCUCCCUUUCUCUCAGAGCUUCAGUCUAAAGGGUGACAUACCGAUCGUUUUCUUAAUGGGUCGGGAUGUCGUUUUUCUUUAUAAUGUCGUAGUACAUGGUGACUUUUUCAAGAAAUUUUGCCUCUUUUGAAUUUUCUUUAAUUUAUUGUUGAAAGUUUUCCUAAUCUAAGGCUGCUUAGAUAAAUUAAAUUAUCUUACUUGUAUGAUUACUAAUGCUACAGCCCUACUGCUUUAAUCACUGUUCAAAAUGGAGUGAUACAUCAUUCUCUAGUAACACUUGAAAUAAAAGCAUGAUUAGAGAUAAAGUUAAAUGAUUUUUAAAUUUUUCUUGUAAAAACGUGUUCGAUAUGAUCAUUUUUCAAGUUGGUCUGGAUAAUACUUACUCGAUCAUUUUCUCAAGUGGGUAGAACUUAUAUUCCACCAAAUCGUACAUUCAAUUAGGUUUGUACUUUACAAUUUAUGUUAUAAAUUAAACGAAUAAUUUGGAUCAUCAAGAGUAAUUAAUAAAGAAUUGGAUGAUGUUGCAUUGGGUUUAGGCUCUUCAGAGUUCGAAUUACCUAAAAGAUGUCUAAAUUCUAAUCAAUUUUCAUCUUCUCUCCAGCAAUAUAAUAAGGUUCGGAAUUGUAUUUGUUUGAAAAAUUUGUUUGGUAUGAUAAAUUGUACGAAUUCGAGUCGGUGAAUUUCCAAGUACAAAGAAAUUGACAAUUGCUAACAACAUCAUGUCGAAUAAAGUGUACAGAUAAAUUGAUUGUGGACAAAUUUUGGUGAUUCUUUUUAAGUUGAUAGCUAUGUCCAAUAUAUUUAAUAUUGUGAAGAGUAAUCCUCUUCUAACCCAGAGGGCCGACCACUAGAUGCAAUAUCGACACUGAGAAUCUUACCUAAUAUUUUUUAUUAAUACUUUUUCUUCUUUAUGGCGAAAUGAGUUUUAAUUUCAAACACAUCAUUCUUGUUCAAGAUAUGCUCUACAAAUAUUGUUUUGUCAUCGGUGGCGGAUCCAAUACUUGACGAACACUUGCGGCGGCGCGUGUUGGAGCCAUUGGAGCAAAAAUUUUUUGUUGACAAUAAAUAAACUUUUUAACUUA